RNAcentral lists this ribosomal RNA (454 nucleotides) under uncultured Burkholderia sp. Its description in RNAcentral is "bacterial SSU rRNA". It matches the Rfam family "Bacterial small subunit ribosomal RNA", at positions 30 to 478 of the family's 1533-position model. The record is from RNAcentral. Lineage: Bacteria; Pseudomonadati; Pseudomonadota; Betaproteobacteria; Burkholderiales; Burkholderiaceae.
AUUGAACGCUGCGGCAUGCCUUACACAUGCAAGUCGAACGGCAGCACGGGGGCAACCCUGGUGGCGAGUGGCGAACGGGUGAGUAAUACAUCGGAACGUGUCCUGUAGUGGGGGAUAGCCCGGCGAAAGCCGGAUUAAUACCGCAUACGAUCUGUGGAUGAAAGCGGGGGAUCUUAGGACCUCGCGCUACAGGGGCGGCCGAUGGCAGAUUAGCUAGUUGGUGGGGUAAAGGCCUACCAAGGCGACGAUCUGUAGCUGGUCUGAGAGGACGACCAGCCACACUCGGACUGAGACACGGCCCAGACUCCUACGGGAGGCAGCAGUGGGGAAUUUUGGACAAUGGGCGCAAGCCUGAUCCAGCAAUGCCGCGUGUGUGAAGAAGGCCUUCGGGUUGUAAAGCACUNNUGUCCGGAAAGAAAACUUCCUGGUUAAUACCUGGGGAGGAUGACGGUAC